GAGAGCGUGGCCCAAUGGCAGGGCAUCCGUUUCCGGAGCGGAAGGUUGUGGGUUCGAGUCCCAUCGCUCUCG
Serendipita vermifera MAFF 305830 is the source of this 72-nucleotide transfer RNA. It matches the Rfam family "tRNA". Rfam says of the family: Transfer RNA (tRNA) molecules are approximately 80 nucleotides in length. Their secondary structure includes four short double-helical elements and three loops (D, anti-codon, and T loops). The record is from Rfam. Lineage: Eukaryota; Fungi; Basidiomycota; Agaricomycetes; Sebacinales; Serendipitaceae.